CGUGAGAUGUUGGGUUAAGUCCCGCAACGAGCGCAACCCUUGUCCUUUGUUGCCAGCGGGUAAAGCCGGGAACUCAAAGGAGACUGCCAGUGACAAACUGGAGGAAGGCAGGGAUGACGUCAAGUCAUCAUGGCCCUUACGGUCAGGGCUACACACGUGCUACAAUGGGGCGUACAGAGGGAAACGAUACCGCGAGGUGGAGUGGAACCCAAAAAGCGUCCCUAAGUUCGGAUUGGAUGUCUGCAACUCGACUCCAUGAA
This 260-nucleotide ribosomal RNA is filed under the name uncultured bacterium. RNAcentral describes it as "partial 16S ribosomal RNA". It matches the Rfam family "Bacterial small subunit ribosomal RNA", at positions 1066 to 1324 of the family's 1533-position model. The record is from RNAcentral.